Molecule: ribosomal RNA, 253 nt
Filed under: uncultured bacterium
Lineage: Bacteria
Description: partial 16S ribosomal RNA
Rfam family: Bacterial small subunit ribosomal RNA
Source: RNAcentral
GACGAAGGGGGCUAGCGUUGUUCGGAAUUACUGGGCGUAAAGGGCGCGUAGGCGGCCUGAUAAGUAGGGGGUGAAAUCCUGCGGCUUAACCGCAGGGCUGCCUUCUAAACUGUCAGGCUCGAGCACAGUAGAGGCAGGUGGAAUUCCCGGUGUAGCGGUGGAAUGCGUAGAGAUCGGGAAGAACAUCAGUGGCGAAGGCGGCCUGCUGGGCUGUUGCUGACGCUGAGGCGCGACAGCGUGGGGAGCAAACAGG